ACGAACGCUGGCGGCGUGCUUAACACAUGCAAGUCGAACGGAAAGGCCCUGCUUUUGUGGGGCGCUCGAGUGGCGAACGGGUGAGUAACACGUGAGUAACCUGCCCUUGACUUUGGGAUAACUUCAGGAAACUGGGGCUAAUACCGGAUAGGAGCUCCUGCUGCAUGGUGGGGGUUGGAAAGUUUCGGCGGUUGGGGAUGGACUCGCGGCUUAUCAGCUUGUUGGUGGGGUAGUGGCUUACCAAGGCUUUGACGGGUAGCCGGCCUGAGAGGGUGACCGGCCACAUUGGGACUGAGAUACGGCCCAGACUCCUACGGGAGGCAGCAGUGGGGAAUAUUGCACAAUGGGCGGAAGCCUGAUGCAGCAACGCCGCGUGCGGGAUGACGGCCUUCGGGUUGUAAACCGCUUUCGCCUGUGGCGAAGCGUGAGUGACGGUAAUGGGUAAAGAAGCACCGGCUAACUACGUG
This 467-nucleotide ribosomal RNA is filed under the name uncultured bacterium. RNAcentral's name for it is "partial 16S ribosomal RNA". It matches the Rfam family "Bacterial small subunit ribosomal RNA", at positions 29 to 507 of the family's 1533-position model. The record is from RNAcentral.